UACGGAGGGUGCAAGCGUUAAUCGGAAUUACUGGGCGUAAAGCGCACGCAGGCGGUCUGUCAAGUCGGAUGUGAAAUCCCCGGGCUCAACCUGGGAACUGCAUUCGAAACUGGCAGGCUAGAGUCUUGUAGAGGGGGGUAGAAUUCCAGGUGUAGCGGUGAAAUGCGUAGAGAUCGGGAGGAACACCAGUGGCGAAAGCGGCCCCCUGGCCUGUAUCUGACGCUGAAGCGCGAAAGCGUGGGGAGCAAACGGG
This 253-nucleotide ribosomal RNA is filed under the name uncultured bacterium. RNAcentral's name for it is "partial 16S ribosomal RNA". It matches the Rfam family "Bacterial small subunit ribosomal RNA", at positions 524 to 776 of the family's 1533-position model. The record is from RNAcentral.